ACAAUUGAAAACAGUUAGUAUCAUAUAGAUCAGAAAUAAGGUUUGAUUAUCUCUACUUCGCUCCGUAAUACGCGAAACUAUGAUAUCUUUUAUUACCAUA
Molecule: non-coding RNA, 100 nt
Filed under: Mollicutes bacterium
Lineage: Bacteria; Bacillati; Mycoplasmatota; Mollicutes
Also listed under: 1 other name
Description: Guanine sequence
Rfam family: Purine riboswitch aptamer
About the family: Riboswitches are metabolite binding domains within certain messenger RNAs that serve as precision sensors for their corresponding targets. Allosteric rearrangement of mRNA structure is mediated by ligand binding, and this results in modulation of gene expression.
Source: RNAcentral